RNAcentral lists this long non-coding RNA (962 nucleotides) under Mytilus galloprovincialis (Mediterranean mussel). The record is from RNAcentral. Lineage: Eukaryota; Metazoa; Mollusca; Bivalvia; Mytilida; Mytilidae.
GCAUUAUAUAUUAUUUGGCCAAUUAUCAUGGUGUUAGUUAGCCUUGUAUAACCACACAUAGCAGAUGGGGAAUGUCUGUCCUAAAGUUGUCAGAUGUUUAGACGUAUAAUAUGUAUAUAUAUAUAUAUAUAUAUAUUGUUUAUGUAAUUUAUAUGUGUUUCUCGUUUCUCGUUUUUUAUAUAGAUUCAACCGUUGGUUUUCUCGUUUGAAUGGUUUUACACUAUUAAUUGUGGGGUCCUUUAUAGCUUUUUGUUCGGUGUGAGCCAAGGCUCCAAAUUGAAGGCUGUACAUUGACAUAUAAUGGUUUACUUUUAUAAAUUGUUAUUUGGAUGGAGAGUUGUCUCAUUGGCACUCAUACCACAUCUUCCUAUAUCUAUAUAUGUAUGUAUGUGCUCAUUAGAGAAACAACUUUAAACAGCAGAAAGGUUUACAUGUAUAGCUGAACUGCUUGACUGUAUAUUUCCUUCAGUAUAACUUAAGCUAUUGGUAAAUUGGCAUUUCAAUUGAUAUUUUGUAUUGGGUUUCUUUAUGUUGUAAUGUUACACUACUGUUUCAGGGUAAGUUGAAGGUUUUGUCUGGUUGAAUGUUUUAACCUGCUGCAUUUUAAUUCAUCUGUCCUAAGCCAAGAGCCUGUUUUCAGCUGUUGUCGUUCGUUGGUAUGGUUCAUAGGUGUUUUUGAUUUUUUAUACAGAUUAGACCUUUAUUUUUUCAGUUUGAAUUGUUUUACACUGGUCAUUAUGGGACCCUGUAUAGCUUGCUGUUUGGUGUUAGCCAAGAGUCUGUGUUGAAGGCCAUACUUUGAACUAUAAUUAUAACUUUUUGUACAUUGUGACUUGGAUGGAGAUUUGUCUAAUUGGCACUCAUACCACAUCUUAUAUACAUGUAAAAAACACAAAUUAAAUAUAAGAUACCAUAAAGAUCAUGCAGUUAAAAUUUGGUUGAAAUUGGUCAAAUGGUUUCAA